UCGCGUAGGCGGUUUGACAAGUCGUGCUUUAAAGACCAAGGCUCAACCUUGGAAAUGGGUACGAUACUAUCAAACUAGAAGAUUGGGGGGGGAUUUUGGAACUUCCAGUGGAGCAGUGAAAUGCGUUGAUAUUGGAAGGAACACCAAUGGCGAAGGCAAAAAUCUAACCAAUCCUUGACGCUGAGGCACGAAAGCUUGGGGAGCGAAGCAGAUUAGAGACCUGCGUAGUCCAAGCCGUAAACAAUCCUCGCUAGAUUCCGAUUCGCAAGAGCCGGAGUCGUAAGUUAACACGUUAAGCGAGGCGCCUGGGGAGUACGAGCGCAAGCUUAAA
This 331-nucleotide ribosomal RNA is filed under the name uncultured bacterium. RNAcentral describes it as "bacterial SSU rRNA". It matches the Rfam family "Bacterial small subunit ribosomal RNA", at positions 567 to 898 of the family's 1533-position model. The record is from RNAcentral.